GCCCCGCGGCAAGAUGGCGGUCUGAAGGCAGUGGGCAGCGGCAGAAAGUUUGUUGUGGGAUUGGAUUAGUCGGGCUGGGAGUCUAUACUUGUAGGGGGUCGUGAGGAUGCCAACGGGGAGUUGGGGCGGAGGGAGUAGCUCUGGGGUUGAGAAGAGGAAGUGGAGUGGUGGAAGGUUGGAGGCAGAGAAAAAAAUGAGAUAGGGAUGGAGGGGAGGGGGCCUAGAUUCCAGUGGUAGCCUUGGGGGAGGGGAUUCCAGGCGGGGAGCCUGAAGUAGGUGUGCAGGGAGGGAGAAGCAGCGUCACGAGUUGGAGCCGAACUUCUUAGCCAAGAGUAAAAAGCCCGGAGCGUGGAGUGGAGGCCCUAGCGCAGGCUGGUGGGAGAGGAAAAGGGGUCUUUUCCAUGGAGGAGAAUAGUAGGGAACGGAGGAAGAGAGACCUGAAGCAAAGAGGGAACUAAAGCCAAACAAAUGGCCCUCUUCUAGACUUAGAUCAGCCUUUCCACAGUUCUUAUAGCAGCAUCUGCCCCAAUUUCAGCUGAAGACUCAGGGGCCCCAGGGAUUGGAAGAAAUCACAGUGCCUGCUUGGAAAGAAGAAGAGGUAGCGACUUGCCCCAGCUCAACCCCAGAGCGGGAGCUGUUGGCCAGAGGAAGUGGCUGGGCCGUGGGAUGCAGAGAGCCACAGGCUGACUCCCGGACAGCGGAACAGAGAGUGCUGCCGACGGACAGACGGUAUGUUCGCAGUGAGGCCUGCGCCCCCCACUGGGCCCCCUCCUGGGGAGGCUGGCAG
This 787-nucleotide long non-coding RNA is filed under the name Bos mutus (wild yak). RNAcentral describes it as "lncRNA (ENSBMUG00000012232.1)". The record is from RNAcentral. Lineage: Eukaryota; Metazoa; Chordata; Mammalia; Artiodactyla; Bovidae.